This 538-nucleotide long non-coding RNA is filed under the name Mytilus galloprovincialis (Mediterranean mussel). The record is from RNAcentral. Lineage: Eukaryota; Metazoa; Mollusca; Bivalvia; Mytilida; Mytilidae.
GGGGCGUAUUGUAAUAUAGAAGAAUGUGGGAAAAACCAAUUCUUUCGUUCAUUUAACGAGUACAAGUCACACGUUUGUAGUGUACACAAAGAAAAGCUGACCUUAUAUACCUGUCAGAUAUGUGACUUGUCUAGAAGAAAUUUACAGGUACUGAAGAAACAUCUCGUAAAGGGCCACACAUGCUCUGAAGAUAGAUAUAGGUGCAUAGAGGUUACUAAUAAAAAUUUCAUUGAUCCAAAGGAUGUUUUGCCAUAUCGAGUCGGAGACGUAAAGGAAAGGGAAGAAGCAAAACAAACGAGGGAAAAGUUGAGGAAAGGAAAAGAAAAGCUACGGAAGAGGCGCAGGAAACACGAAAACGAUAUGUGGAGUCGGGAAAGAAACCAAAAGUAGAGGACAAACACUAUAAUUCGAGGGACGAACAUUUAAAGUUUAAGUUCGACAAGAUACUUUGACAAGGACAGUAAUGAAAGCAAAGAAACAUUGACAUUAAAUGACCAAUUUUUGUUUAUAUUGCUUAUAUACAUUUAUGGAAUAUUUU